Molecule: RNA transcript, 3493 nt
Organism: Panicum virgatum (switchgrass)
Lineage: Eukaryota; Viridiplantae; Streptophyta; Magnoliopsida; Poales; Poaceae
Gene name: alpha carbonic anhydrase 8-like
Exons: 10
Source: RefSeq, a predicted model, not a curated record
UUCGCUCCGCUUCCAGAGCUUUCUCGUCGUCCUCUGUGCACCCGCAACCCUCCUCACAGAGGGCCCUAAAGGCGGCGGCGGCGGCCAUUGCGGUAGCAGCAUGCCGAGGAGACCGGCGCCCGCGGCGGCGACGACAUGCCGGCGGCCUUCGCCGCGUCCUGGCCUCGCCUCGCCGCCUCCUGCCGCGCAGCCGGCGCAGGGGCGCUGGCACGGCCUCUGCUCUCCGCGCCGCCCGGACAACCGGAUCCGCGCCCCGGCCUCCUCCUCAACAUGCCUCCUCGCCGUCCCCGUUCCCGUCCCCGUGCGCCCGCGGCUGCCUGCCAGCCCACCUCCUCCUCCACGCGCCUCCGCGACGUCUUGUCGUCCCCGUCCCCGGCGCGCCCUCUGCUCCUCGCCGCCCGGACAACCAGGUCCGCACCCCGGGCUCCUCCUCGCCGUCCCUGUCCCCGUCGUCCCCCGUGCGCCCGCGGCACGGGGCCAGCUACUAUAGCUGCCGUCUCGGCGUACAGGCCAACUCCAACCACCACGGCUGCUCCCACAUCACCUGCUGCAGUGGUGCUGCUGCUGGGCCGGCCGCCCUCUCCCUUCGGGCUCCCUCGUCAGGUGCCCCCCACCGCAGGAUCCAAAUCGGAUUUGGAGUCGUAGAUCGAACUCGCUCCAGCCUCCAGCCCAAAUCUUAUCCUUUUCCCUCGGAUUGGACCUCUGAUUCACUUUCUAUCUACUUCCUCUUGCACAUGGAAUCCAUCUCCCAAAUCUGUUCUUCCCCGCUAGAUUAUUUUUCUUUUUUCAGGUCCAAUCCAUGCCUCCCAAUUUCCUUCCUAAAAUCAAAAUGGGCCAUGUCGCUGUUGUCAGCCAUCUGACGUCCGUGAGCACCUCGCUAUAAAUUUCUGGUUAUGCCUCUUGCGACGAUAGUAACGCCCAUUUUCUAAUUUUGGUUUCGCUCCCAAUCAGCAUGCUGCAUUUGGUCAUUUCCUCCCUCUCUUUCUUGCAGUCGGCGCUUGCUUUUGCUUUUCCAUAUGAUGUGGCUGAGUAUGGCCAUCACCCCUGUCCCUCUCUCUUAUAUUCCUCUUGCUUUUACUACUUUGGUCCUCACCUUUCUUGCAGCGUUUACCACUUACCUGUGUAGCCUCCUGAGUAUACAGAUUGAUUAAUAAGAUUUGUCUUUACCAAUAGGAGGCUCUGCCUUUCAAACUGAUUUGGUUCUCCCUGCUAUUUCAAUUUCAGACUGAUUGUGCCUUCUGUUCUCUCUUCAGUGAUUUAUUAACAGAUACUUUCAACACUUAUUUGUUUCCAUUCUUGCAUUGUAGUUCCUGUAAGCUGAAUGUUCAGAACUCAGUUUGCUUAUCUACUUCACUCAAAUGCACAUUACAAAACUGGUUACUACAUUUGCUCUUCAAGAUUUCCUAAUUUUUGUUCCCCUCCUCAGUUUAUUUACGUUCAGGUAGCCCUGUGUCUCUCCGUCAAAGUUCUGAAUAUGAUCAGAUCGUUCCUAUUUUUUGUAGGCUGCAAAAUAAACUGAAGGACCAUUCCAACUAAUGUAGCAUUGCUAAAUAAAAUAUGCUUAUCAGACGAGGUGGAGGCCGCUGCGCGAGCCGAGGCAAACAAGAAGGUGCUAAUCUUGAUGAGCGGCACGGGCGGCAGGCACCGAGCAUCCGCCGAGCCCAUAAGCCUGCCUUCGUCCAAGAGUUCGGCAAGAACUACCUGAUGAGAAACAGAAGGCAGCUAGGUAGUUUGGUAAGGCAUUUUUUUUUGCCUGACAGGGGCACUGCAGUAUCAAGAACAUAAUCGUCCUUUUCUACUUGAGAUAUUAAAUGAUUUAUGACCAUUUCUGAGACCAUUAGUAAUCUGAGUUUUAGCAAAUUGCUUCUUAUCUUUUUAUUUGUAAAACUGUUCAAAUUGCACCAGUGGCGAUAAUGUCUUUCCAUAGGUGAGGUCUGUGAAACCUGUUUUAACAAGGCUUUUUUCAAUGGUACUAUAAGAGUGGUGGAUUUUCACCAAGCAACAAAGCAAGUAAAUUCUUUUUCAGAUUGCUGUUGGUAGCAGCUCAUCCUCUAGCUGCUGCUACUACAGCAAAGUUUUAUAGUAAUAAUGUAGAUCAAGAACAAACUUAAUACAACAUUCCCUCUUCAUCAGCUUAAGGUGGCAAAUUGUAAAAUGAACAGUGAAAUGUCUAACUGAAAUUUCUUUUGGGGGCACAGCUUGGUCCCUUUUGUUGGUAAAAUCUAAAGCUUCUUCAAAUGGUUAUGACCAUGGAACGACAAGGGACUCAUGGGAGGAAAUGCCUAUAUGGCUCAAUCUGAGAUAAAUAAAACCAAUUGUUCCUUAGAUAUUCUGUUGCUAAGAAUGUAUAGUUGCACCUUGAAAAUAUUCAGCACAGAUCAGAUUAGGUAUGUUCUUCAAUUUAAACAGCACCUUUGAAAAUAGAUAUUUAUUCAAAUGAUUAUCCGACCAUCUCAACUCUCAUCCAAAGUAUCUUUAACAUAUUUUUUUCUUACAAAAUCUUUUUCCAUGAAACAUGUCCUACCUCAAGUAAAUGCAUGCCAUGCCAAAAAAAAGAGAGAGAAAAGCACCAGCCAGCGCAGCAGCAGGAAACAAAGCUGUAAGACCACUCACCAAGUAAAGUCAAGGAGGAAACUCCAACCACUUGAUAUUGGCUUCUAUCGAUUAGUAAUGUAUGCUCCUAUGGCAGGACUCACCACGGUUAUGAGAAGCCAUCACCUUGAUGUGAGUCAGCAUGCUCAGUUUGGAAUAAAGAAAAUAGCUAUGUUCUGUUCUGGAAUUUUGCAGCUGUUGAUUAUAGAUUGGUUGCGUGCCAAGCAUCGGUUCUUGCUCUAACCCAUGAGCUUGCAUAGCAAAUUGAGAAGGCCAUGUAUAUCGAGAAACCAAAUACAUCAGUGCUCCAAACUCUUCAUAUAGCAUGCUGUGCUCGAGCUUGCCAAGACGCCAACCCUUGCUCCAACUUCUCUUAUACAGCUUUCUAUGCAUGUAUCAGCCGAGGGCUCAAGGGCAAUAGUAGGAAGCCAUGUUUUCUGUCACAUCCUUUGAUCAGUUCCAUAACUUCCUACCGACGUGAAAAAUAUGUGUAUUUAGAUUCCUAUUAGAAGACUAAACAAUAGCUCUGUAGAUUACAUGUUCCAUUAUAAAUAUAUGCUUUCUACAUUUACUUAUCUUGAGGAAAAAAAGGAAAAAAACAGGGCAAGCUACUUCCAAUGUAAUGCGAGAAAGGGUUUACUCCCCGUCUUCAUCGCAAACAAGACCAAAGCAAAACCAUGUGAGUGCUUAGAGCACUAAGCCAGAUUGGAAAAAGGUCAGGAGCAACACAACCAUUCCAGGGACUUAACAUUUAGCACUGCCUAUGCCAGAAGAUUUAAUAGGCAGUAGCGCUUUUGUACUAAUGCGUAGUUGUGCAUUGUAUAUGAGAAAUAAUUGUACUAUCAUAUAUACCUACUAACAUAUGGCCAUACCAUGUUAAUGACCUGUUUAUAUGUAUUAA